Molecule: ribosomal RNA, 251 nt
Filed under: uncultured bacterium
Lineage: Bacteria
Description: partial 16S ribosomal RNA
Rfam family: Bacterial small subunit ribosomal RNA
Source: RNAcentral
UACAGAGGGUGCGAGCGUUAAUCGGAGUUACUGGGCGUAAAGGGCGCGUAGGCGGUUAUAUAAGUGAGAUGUGAAAUCCCUGGGCUUAACCUAGGAACUGCAUCUCAUACUGUAUGACUGGAGUAUUGUAGAAGUGGUAGUGAAUUUCCGGUGUAGCGGUGAAAUGCGUAGAGAUCGGAAGGAACACCAGUGGCGAAGGCGGCUACCUGGACAAAUACUGAACGCUGAGGCGCGAGAGCGGUGGGGAGCAA